Molecule: ribosomal RNA, 910 nt
Filed under: uncultured bacterium
Lineage: Bacteria
Description: bacterial SSU rRNA
Rfam family: Bacterial small subunit ribosomal RNA
Source: RNAcentral
ACGCUGGCGGCGUGCCUAAUACAUGCAAGUAGAACGCUGAAGAGAGGAGCUUGCUCUUCUUGGAUGAGUUGCGAACGGGUGAGUAACGCGUAGGUAACCUGCCUCGUAGCGGGGGAUAACUAUUGGAAACGAUAGCUAAUACCGCAUAACAAUAGGUGACACAUGUCAUUUAUUUGAAAGGGGCAAUUGCUCCACUACAAGAUGGACCUGCGUUGUAUUAGCUAGUAGGUGAGGUAACGGCUCACCUAGGCGACGAUACAUAGCCGACCUGAGAGGGUGAUCGGCCACACUGGGACUGAGACACGGCCCAGACUCCUACGGGAGGCAGCAGUAGGGAAUCUUCGGCAAUGGGGGCAACCCUGACCGAGCAACGCCGCGUGAGUGAAGAAGGUUUUCGGAUCGUAAAGCUCUGUUGUAAGUCAAGAACGAGUGUGAGAGUGGAAAGUUCACACUGUGACGGUAGCUUACCAGAAAGGGACGGCUAACUACGUGCCAGCAGCCGCGGUAAUACGUAGGUCCCGAGCGUUGUCCGGAUUUAUUAGGCGUAAAGCGAGCGCAGGCGGUUUGAUAAGUCUGAAGUUAAAGGCUGUGGCUCAACCAUAGUUCGCUUUGGAAACUGUCAAACUUGAGUGCAGAAGGGGAAAGUGGAAUUCCAUGUGUAGCGGUGAAAUGCGUAGAUAUAUGGAGGAACACCGGUGGCGAAAGCGGCUCUCUGGUCUGUAACUGACGCUGAGGCUCGAGAGCGUGGGGAGCGAACAGGAUUAGAUACCCUGGUAGUCCACGCCGUAAACGAUGAGUGCUAGGUGUUGGAUCCUUUCCGGGAUUCAGUGCCGCAGCUAACGCAUUAAGCACUCCGCCUGGGGAGUACGACCGCAAGGUUGAAACUCAAAGGAAUUGACGGGGGCCCGCA